Molecule: ribosomal RNA, 206 nt
Filed under: uncultured bacterium
Lineage: Bacteria
Description: partial 16S ribosomal RNA
Rfam family: Bacterial small subunit ribosomal RNA
Source: RNAcentral
CUCGUAGGUGGCCAACUAAGUCAGACGUGAAAUCCCUCGGCUUAACCGGGGAACUGCGUCUGAUACUGGAUGGCUCGAGUUUGGGAGAGGGAUGCGGAAUUCCAGGUGUAGCGGUGAAAUGCGUAGAUAUCUGGAGGAACACCGGUGGCGAAGGCGGCAUCCUGGACCACGACUGACGCUGAGGAGCGAAAGUCAGGGGAGCAAAC